GAGCGGGUGUAGCAAUACAUCAGCGGCAGACGGGUGAGUAACGCGUGGGAACGUACCUUUUGGUUCGGAACAACCCAGGGAAACUUGGGCUAAUACCGGAUAAGCCCUUACGGGGAAAGAUUUAUUGCCGAGGGAUCGGCCCGCGUCCGAUUAGCUAGUUGGUGGGGUAAUGGCCCACCAAGGCGACGAUCGGUAGCUGGUCUGAGAGGACGAUCAGCCUCACUGGGACUGAGACACGGCCCAGACUCCUACGGGAGGCAGCAGUGGGGAAUAUUGGACAAUGGGCGCAAGCCUGAUCCAGCCAUGCCGCGUGGGUGAUGAAGGCCUUAGGGUUGUAAAGCCCUUUCGGCGGGGAAGAUAAUGACGGUACCCGCAGAAGAAGCCCCGGCCAACUUCGUG
This 399-nucleotide ribosomal RNA is filed under the name uncultured bacterium. Its description in RNAcentral is "bacterial SSU rRNA". It matches the Rfam family "Bacterial small subunit ribosomal RNA", at positions 64 to 507 of the family's 1533-position model. The record is from RNAcentral.